Long non-coding RNA from Falco peregrinus (peregrine falcon), 7377 nucleotides. RefSeq lists it as uncharacterized. The record is from RefSeq and is a predicted model, not a curated record. Lineage: Eukaryota; Metazoa; Chordata; Aves; Falconiformes; Falconidae. The transcript is spliced from 2 exons.
AGGGGGGAGAGGCAGGGGAAAACUGCAGAGUGCGAGGAGAAAAGUGCGGUAGAAGCCCGGCCCCGGGUUGGUUUGCGCUAGGUUAUUUUAGCGACAGAAUACCUUCCGAUUAACCGCGACGUUUAGCGGCUGAUUGAUGCGCUGAAUUGUUAGUUUAAAUCGCCGGCUAUCGCUGCUGCCGCGAACGGGGUACGCGAGUCCGGGGGCAUGGAGAGCCGCGGUGCGCGGGGGGGCCGCGCAAAGUUGAUCCUGCCCGGGAAGCCAGCCUGCUCCGCCGGCCGCCCGCGCCCUACGCUGCAAGCGUGGUCUCUUUCCUCUGACAAUUCAUUGUGCUUUUCUAAAAAUUAAUUUUCCAGGGCAUGAAGAGAACGCCUCGUUCGAGCCGUGUUUGGCACCGCUCUUCAUUAAGUGAUCGCCGCUAUCAAGCACGCUGUGGAUGUCUUGGGGGAGAGGCGGGGGGGAAGAGGGGGGAAAUCCCUUUUAGUUUUGCGAUUAGGCUGCCAGGGCUUUGAAAAGGGCUUAAAAACAAAGUCAUGCUCAGCCUUUUGUAGGAGAGAUCCAGAUGUUACGUAGAUUUUUGUUUGCAUGUUCAUUUCGAGCGGAUCUGGCGGUGAGCGCUGUAUUUACGUGUGUAUGUGGCUGGACUUUGCCGUAUAUCGACGUUGCGCUUGUGGAAUGUAUGCUGAAGUAUUAGCUCGGUAAUGCCUUCUAAUGGUAGUGCUAAUUACCGUGGGGUUAUUUAGCAAAUUAAGUGAGAUGAUGCACCCCCCACCCUUGAGCACCAAAUGAACUUUUCCAAACACACACCACGCGCGCGCACACACGCGCGCGCACUCGCGCGCGCACACGCACACACUCACACACACACACUCACACAUACACUCACACACACUCACACACACGCACGCGUUAAUUUUGGUGUGUUUCUCUCGCCCAAUCGCUCCGUCGGAGCCGCAGCAUGCCUUACCUCAGAGCAGUCAAUUACCAAAGCUACCCGGGAUCAUCAAUCAUGGGGGAUGCUUGAAGUUUAGGGGAGGAGCGAUGGUCAAACUAUCGAUUGCUGCAGUUUUGUCCUCCCCAACCCCCCACCCUCGUUCACGGUCCCCUGCACAUAAAAUCUAAAACAGACUAUCCCGUUAAUAGUGGGAUUUAUCAAUGAUUAUGUACCCGGUUGUGAAUGUGGCCUUAUACAUAGAUGGCUUUGAAAAAAACACGGCAGAAAAAUUUUUUUUUUUUUCAGUUAGAGUUUGGUUUGGUUUGCUUUUUGUGAUGAUGACGAGAACUUUAAGGGUAUUUUUUUUUCCCUAAACUUUAAGAAAAUUACUCAAGGGGUAGUUGUAGAUAUUUGGCCUGAUUUUAAUAGGCGUAGGGAAUGAGCUCCAGAGGUCAAUAAACCCCUCCAAAAUGAUGAAUGAUUGAGUACCUGUGAUGAUGAUAGUGAUUACCGGAGCAAUUAAACAGUUUGAUUAAAUGAGCCAUCAUAACAAUGAUGUCUGCGGGAAAUCAGCCCUCACAUAUAAAGAAAGAUAGUGUGGAGGGCUGACAAACGCCAGUGGGCAUUCCUGCGUGUUCCGAUAGCGCCGAGCCCUGCAGAGCAGGGCUGUGUUUACAAAUACGGGGGGAAUAUGGAGAAAAGUCCCUCUCUUACUUUUAGCCAGAGUUGCACCCUGCUUAAAACCCUCCAGAAGCCGGAGACCAGACCCGGGUUGUUUUUGUGGGUUUUUUGUUUUGGUUUGUUUUUUGGGUUGGUUGUGGGGGUUUUCUUGGUUUUUUUUUUUUUUUUUUUUCCUAGAGGAUCUCCUCCAAGAUUAAAGCUAGUCCUAAGAGCAACCGAAUUGCUGUGACUGACUUUCACGGGACUGUAAAGAGAGGUGAGUAAAAAAGCCCUUAGUAUGUAGAUCUCUUUCAAGCAGUGGUUAAGUCGAUUCAUUUCGCAGGGAAAAAGCCAGUCUUCUUGUGCAGUAUUUUAUACUCUGUCGUAUAAAUCGGUAACGUAAUUCAAGAUAUUCAUGGUAAUGAAUGCUUGGCUAAUCCUUUGGGUGCGCGGAGACCUACAGAGCAGUAGGUUAUGCAAAUCCUUUCCUACUUUUACAGCUGUAGUUUUCUAACAGAUUUUUUAAGAGAUCUAGUAAUCGGUGAAUGUUAUCUGGUUGGGUUUUUUUUCCUCCCGCGCCCCCCCCCCCCCCCCCAAAGAUGCCAGAUUUCUAAACUUGCGUGGAAUCAUUUGAUUGUGAUACAGCCAGCUUAGAGGACGGGGUUUAAAUAUUUGUAGCUUCCAAACUUAUUUUUCAACCGAGGCUGUGCAAACCCAGAGCCUUGCCUCUUGAGAUAUACAAGUGUGUCUCAUUUCAGAUAGUUUCGGUAUCACCAAAGAAGAGGUCUUUUCUGGUAAUGUGGCCGCGCAAAAGUAAUCUAGCUCCGUUGAAGGCUCCAUGUAUUUGUUCAGACCUCAAGCUGUGGGAGAAGUUCAUCAGUUUUCUUCUUAAAAAGAAGUUUUUAGAUUACUUGGUUCCCAUAGAAAUCGGCUCAAAAGUCCAAAGAGAAAUGAGGUGUCCGGUAUGGAAGUGCAUCUCAGUCAACAGCCAGCUCCUUUUGCCGAGGCUGGAAAUGGUUUUAACAGGCGGUAAAAUUUCAUCUUGUGGUGUCAAAUUGGGGUCAGUUUGGGGUUAGCGCUCUCAGUGUCCGAGCAGGAGCUGUCCAGCUGUGUGGGGAUUCAUUAAAGGCAAAAGAUCCGUUUCAAGAAAAACAAUACAAAGACAAUCAGAGGGCUAAAGAUCCUCUUCAAAUCGCAUUUUACAAGUGCACCAGAACAAAUAUGGACGCUGAAACCUAUUCCCUUCAAACUCCCAAAUCGGCUUCUUAGCCCUUGGAGGGAGUGAGAGAGAAAAUCCUCUAAAACUUAAGAAGAGUCUGUUUUCAAUCAGCCUUUCCGAAGUGUGGUAUCUCAGUCCUUUGCUGGCUUUGAGACAUGCCUCUCUCGCUCGCUCGCUCUCUCUCUCUCUUUUUUUCCACAGCCUUGCAAAAGCGGAUGGCACAACAGGUAAUAUUUCAGAUUUCAAGAAUAUAUCCCACCGGGCAUCUCAAACCACUGUUUCGUAUGCGCGGGUGCGCCUAGCGCAAGAUUUAAUGCAAACAGAAAGUUUUUUGGGGAAACAAGCCAUGCUUGCACGAAAUCCUAUUGGACCCCUUCGGAAAUUUUCUGCACUCCAUGUAGGCGAUGCUCCGGUCUGAUAGGUAAUUUAGGCUAGAUUUACUUUACGGUUCCUGGUGUUUGUGGAAAGCACCUAUUGCUAAUCUGGUUUAUUAAAUUCGCGUGGUUUAAAUCCUCUUAGCGUCCCUACAUCUGUUAGAACAAUUGACGCCUUGCUACAGGGACAAAUAACUCGAACCUUAAUCUUGUUUGUAACUUUAUUCAAUGUUUGUUUGUUUGUGCGCUGAGUUCAAGUAUUUUUGGAUGAUGCCAUUGUGUUCGGAAGGACACAGGCGACAUUUGCAGGCAGAACUCCCCGUGGACGGGCUAAGGAUAUCGCAGAGCCGGAUGACAAAUUUUUCAUAUUUGAAUUGGCAUUUUAUCUCGACCUAUCGUUCUAGGAAGUGUGUCGUACUUAAUGAAGAAAGCAAUCUGCCUGUUAAAAUGUGGUCGCGGGAUUACAUCACUAUGACCCCGUAGUGAAAUCCACGGGAAUUUUUCUUUUUGUUUGGCUCGCAAGGCGAAGCGUGGGGUGUAAAUAGUACCUUUUCCUUUUCAUAAUCAGGAUUAUGCCACAGUUCAAACUCUUACCCCCGGAAUCGCUCUUUACCAGCCUUUCCUUUGCCUUUACGGUUGGCUCUUACAACUUGAGUCACUUUUUAUUCGUCUCAGCCCAGUUUGAUUCGCCUCUGACUCCCCGCAGGUGCAGGACUCUGGAGGUCCCAUCCCGGGUGCCCCUGUGAAAUCACGCACAUUUUAGCUGCUGCCGAUCCCUGGGUUCAUGUAGCUCCUCGCCCUGAGCCGCCCGCCUGCCAAUAGCGUACCUCGCUUCUCAGCGAUCUAUUAUUUUGCGAAGAUCUUUCCAGUCCGGAAAGUCAAUGGUAGCCCAUCACGGUGAACUUUUCUUGACCUCGGCUGCGGUAUGACUGAGAUCUUUGGGAGCUGGAUUAGGAAGAGGCUCAUUUACCUACCUGUUAACUUCCCUUUUGAAUCCCUUUCUUUCACACACACACACGCCUUUUUUUUUUUUUUUUUUUUUUUUAGGGGAAAAAAACCCAAAACCAACCCAACAAACCCCCCGCGAAGCAAGAGCGACCCGGGGUCUUCCUCCCCGCCGGGCGCCCCUUGUCCCCGCCCCGGGCGCUGGCGGGACGCGCCCCCGCCGCCGGGCCGCACGGCCGUGCCAUCGGCAGCGCUCUAGCGCUACCUGGCGGGGCUCCAGCACCAUCCGCCGCGCCGCGCCGCGCAGACCCCGCGGGGCCCGGCCUGUCGGCCCCGCUCCGCGCCUCCGCCCCCGCGGGGCUCCGGGCCUGGGCUGCUGCGCCCCUCCCCCGGCUCCCACCGGGCGGGUCGAGGGGCGAGGGCACGGUGGGAAGGGGCGCGCAGAUGCGUUCGUCUGGCGUAUCUCACGCGGGCGCGUGUGAAGCGCUCAUGUCAGACGAGAGCUUUUUUUUUUUUUUUUUUUUUUAAUGUCUUAGGCUGGGAGGUUUGUAAAAGUGAAGACCAUAAAGAGCCGACGUGCGUAUUUCCAUCAUAAACCAGAAAGAGAAAAAUACCUGUCAGGGCUUCCCACUAACGCCGUGCCGGCUGCUUCACCGGGGUAGUAGUUAAACACCUAGUUUGCAUUUGUUCGAAGGAGCCCGAAGCAUUAACAAAAUCCAUCUUUCCAAUGUGACAUCAUAACAAAAAGGACAGUUAGGGCAAACUAAAUCGCUUUAGUGCGAUAUCAGAGCAUCCGAGAAGGCACCAAACUCUGCUCGGAGCUUUCUGCUCUCGCUCACUCAAAAUAUUCCCUUUUGUUCUCCAGCUGCCUACAAAACUCCAGAAGAGGAGCGCUCUCAUUUUUACACCGGAGUUCUCGGUCCGGAGAGAACAAUAUCAUCCUACCUCUUUUGAAACGAUACGGAGACUCUCGCAACACACAGGCGAUCACUCGAAGCACGAAUCUCCUUUUUUUUUUUCUUUUUUCUUUUUCUUCUCCCACCCCCCCCCCCCCCCAAGAGUUGCUCGGCCCAUUGUUUGAAGUAGGAUUCAGCGCGCAGCCCAAGGAGAACAGGGAAAAAAAAAUAAUCUUAGGAGUCCGGUUUGGUAUUGCACAGAGAAAGAGCUGGCUGACAAAAUAUUAUAGCGUGUUUCCUAGAAGUAUGUGAUGAGAGCCGGCAUUGUGUUCCCAAAAGAGAGGUGUUUUUUAUCGGUUGGGUUUUGUGUGUGUGUGUGUGUGUCUCCCCCGCCUCCCCCCCCCCAAAGAUUGUGAUCGCCUUUGUACGUCUUUCUUUUGAUCCCACAAAGAGAAUGCAAUAUACAUAUAUGUGUUUGCUCUCCAUACAAGAAAUGCAAGGGACCGUACAAUGGAAUAUACGGCCGGUUAGUCCUCAUAAUGCUUAGUUUUGCUGUAAUUAAUUGAAAACAGUUAUUAGGUCGUCAUUGGCAAUAGCGUAAAUAAUUGCAGCAGAUUUUUACUUAAAAUUGACCGGUCACAGAGUGAUAGAUCGAUUCGAGGUAUAAAAAUGAUGUAUCAAAACAUCAAUGUCGAUUAUUUGAAAUAUUGUAGUCGAAUCUUUUUAUUGCUUCAUCGGUUAAGUGUCUGAAAGUGCUGUGUUCCAACAUAUAUUUAUGUUGUCAAUACUGUCAAAACUGUCAGUUUUAUUACAGUGGAUUUGUAAUACAUUUCGGAUUUGCUCAUUUACAUAAAAUGUCCACCUCAGAUACACCUCCUUUUACCCAUCUCUGGAAAUCUAUGUCAGUCUAAUAAAAGGAUUCAGGAAUCAUACCUGAAGCAAAAGAAAAAAAAAAAAGAACCGGGGGGGGGGGGGGAGCGGAAAGUGGAGCUAUUGCUCCAUUAAGUCCAAUUUAAACAUCCUUUUGGAAAGCUUGGGCUAUUUCUAACUUGCCAUAAGAGGGAAUCCCGCCCCCCCCUCCCCCCCAUUUCCUCAGCAGAAUUUAAACACUUUUCUACCCUCACACCUAGAUUGAACCCUUCAGGAGAACUGAGAAAGUGUACAGGGAGGCAGAGCCGCGCCGCAGCACACCUGGGAGUGCAAAGACCCUCCCGGGGAGAGCGGCAGCCCCCCGAACCGCGCACCCACGCACGGGGGUUUGCGUCCUGCUAGAAAGAAGGAGACAAAAGGAGCAAUAAAUAUGUGUGUGAUCCUUUCUUAACGGUUUGAAGCUCAAAGGCAAAACGCGAAGUGGAAGGAGUAUUGGGCAUUUAAUGCCUCCCGUCCCCAUUUUAUCAGGGUCUGAUCCGGUCUGAUUAUUCGCUUGAACUAUAAGCGCUGAUUCUUUAUUAGCAUGGUCUCAGACACCUCUCUAAUUUUCUUUGAGAGCCCAGCUCAGGGAUGGCAAAGCUAAGGAAUGAAUAAAUACAUUUACACACUAAACUCUCUUCGAUCGAGCAAACAGUGAAAUUAGCCAAGUAACUUCACCCCCCCCCCACCCCCCCCCUUUCGGGAGCAUGAGGUUGUUUUUAAGGCGUUGGUAGGAUGGAGGUGUGGGUUUUUUUCCUUUUUUCUUUCUUUCUUUUUUUUUUUUUUUUUCCCUCCCCCUUCUAGGGAUAUGUAUGUUUAAAGAGAUGCUGAAGAGAUUUCUGAGUUCACGGGGAAGAAGGAAAGGUUGGUUUGGGGAACGACAGCGCGCCUGGCAGGUAUUUUAAUGACCGUCCCUUCCUUUGAACACUUCCCAUUUCUUUGCCUCUUUUCAUCCGGAAUCUCUUCCCCAGACCAAGUAUGAUUUCUGUUGUAAUUCUUGUGUGUGUUUGUGAUCCCUUCUGAGGUAAAUUGAGAAGUAAGCUGCGCAAAAGGAGGAAAUCGCCCCUGGGGUGCUUUGUUUACUUUGGUUUGUAAAAUCCUGCUAGGAGAUGGUUUCCUCAGUGUGUGGCAAGUGUUUCUUCAAGAAAUUCAUCAGCCCUUCUACAAUUACUUGGAGCUCCGAGGGAAGAGAGCUGCCAUCACUUUCUCACAUCCCAAGGUGUUGCAUGGAGGAGAGAAGAAAAGGCUGGAGCAUAUAAUUAUAACGGGGGUGGGGGGUGGGGGUGGGAACGGCGGCUGCAGAAAGCCGUCCCAAGCCUGUACCUGGAAAAGAAAAACCUGCAAGGGUGUAUCUGGGAGACGUGUGCCAUUUAGAGAUGGGGAAAAGUACCCCAUCUUGUGCAGUAAUUAGUCUGAACAAUAAACAUAAUUGGAAUAAAA